This 225-nucleotide ribosomal RNA is filed under the name uncultured bacterium. RNAcentral's name for it is "partial 16S ribosomal RNA". It matches the Rfam family "Bacterial small subunit ribosomal RNA", at positions 118 to 342 of the family's 1533-position model. The record is from RNAcentral.
UAUGCAACGUGCCUAUCAGAGGGGGAUAACCCGGCGAAAGUCGGACUAAUACCGCAUGAAGCAGGGGCCCCGCAUGGGGAUAUUUGCUAAAGAUUCAUCGCUGAUAGAUAGGCAUGCGUUCCAUUAGGCAGUUGGCGGGGUAACGGCCCACCAAACCGACGAUGGAUAGGGGUUCUGAGAGGAAGGUCCCCCACAUUGGUACUGAGACACGGACCAAACUCCUAC